AGAGUUUGAUCCUGGCUCAGGAUGAACGCUGGCGGCGUGCCUAAUACAUGCAAGUCGAGCGAACGGAUGAGAAGCUUGCUUCUCUGAUGUUAGCGGCGGACGGGUGAGUAACACGUGGAUAACCUACCUAUAAGACUGGGAUAACUUCGGGAAACCGGAGCUAAUACCGGAUAAUAUUUUGAACCGCAUGGUUCAAAAGUGAAAGACGGUCUUGCUGUCACUUAUAGAUGGAUCCGCGCUGCAUUAGCUAGUUGGUAAGGUAACGGCUUACCAAGGCAACGAUGCAUAGCCGACCUGAGAGGGUGAUCGGCCACACUGGAACUGAGACACGGUCCAGACUCCUACGGGAGGCAGCAGUAGGGAAUCUUCCGCAAUGGGCGAAAGCCUGACGGAGCAACGCCGCGUGAGUGAUGAAGGUCUUCGGAUCGUAAAACUCUGUUAUUAGGGAAGAACAUAUGUGUAAGUAACUGUGCACAUCUUGACGGUACCUAAUCAGAAAGCCACGGCUAACUACGUGCCAGCAGCCGCGGUAAUACGUAGGUGGCAAGCGUUAUCCGGAAUUAUUGGGCGUAAAGCGCGCGUAGGCGGUUUUUUAAGUCUGAUGUGAAAGCCCACGGCUCAACCGUGGAGGGUCAUUGGAAACUGGAAAACUUGAGUGCAGAAGAGGAAAGUGGAAUUCCAUGUGUAGCGGUGAAAUGCGCAGAGAUAUGGAGGAACACCAGUGGCGAAGGCGACUUUCUGGUCUGUAACUGACGCUGAUGUGCGAAAGCGUGGGGAUCAAACAGGAUUAGAUACCCUGGUAGUCCACGCCGUAAACGAUGAGUGCUAAGUGUUAGGGGGUUUCCGCCCCUUAGUGCUGCAGCUAACGCAUUAAGCACUCCGCCUGGGGAGUACGACCGCAAGGUUGAAACUCAAAGGAAUUGACGGGGACCCGCACAAGCGGUGGAGCAUGUGGUUUAAUUCGAAGCAACGCGAAGAACCUUACCAAAUCUUGACAUCCUUUGACAACUCUAGAGAUAGAGC
Molecule: ribosomal RNA, 1023 nt
Filed under: Staphylococcus aureus
Lineage: Bacteria; Bacillati; Bacillota; Bacilli; Caryophanales; Staphylococcaceae
Also listed under: 38 other names
Description: bacterial SSU rRNA
Rfam family: Bacterial small subunit ribosomal RNA
Source: RNAcentral